RNAcentral lists this unclassified non-coding RNA (305 nucleotides) under plant metagenome. Its description in RNAcentral is "partial contains 5.8S ribosomal RNA, internal transcribed spacer 2, and large subunit ribosomal RNA". The stretch from base 1 to 104 matches the Rfam family "5.8S ribosomal RNA", at positions 51 to 154 of the family's 154-position model. The record is from RNAcentral.
AAAUGCGAUAAGUAGUGUGAAUUAUAGAAUUUAGUAAAUUAUUAAAUUUUUAAACGCAUAUUACGCCCUUUGGUAUUCUAUAGGGUAUGCCUAUUCAAGCGUUAUCUACACCCUUAAGCUCUACUUGGUGUUGGGCGUCUGUCCCGCCUUUAUAUGUGGACUUACUCUAAAUGUAUUGGUAGCGGUCCUUGUUCCCUCCUGCGUAGUAUAUUGCGCUUCUUGAGGCUGCGGCGGCCUGCGUUCAAUAAGCUGAACCCCCCCAUCUUUAACCUCGGAUUAGGUAGGGAUACCUGCUGAACUUAAGC